GUUGACCUCGAAUCAGGUAGGAAUACCCGCUGAACUUAAGCAUAUCAAUAAGCGGAGG
Molecule: ribosomal RNA, 58 nt
Filed under: Pochonia chlamydosporia
Lineage: Eukaryota; Fungi; Ascomycota; Sordariomycetes; Hypocreales; Clavicipitaceae
Also listed under: 1 other name
Description: partial 28S ribosomal RNA
Rfam family: Eukaryotic large subunit ribosomal RNA
Source: RNAcentral